Molecule: small nuclear RNA, 107 nt
Organism: Molossus molossus (Pallas's mastiff bat)
Lineage: Eukaryota; Metazoa; Chordata; Mammalia; Chiroptera; Molossidae
Source: RefSeq, a predicted model, not a curated record
CUGCUCACUUCGGCAGCACGUAUACCAAAAUUGGAACAACGUGGAGAAGAUUAGCAGAGACCCUGUGCAAGGAUGACACGCAAAUGCGUGUGGCGUUCCAUAUUUUU